RNAcentral lists this ribosomal RNA (466 nucleotides) under uncultured bacterium. RNAcentral's name for it is "partial 16S ribosomal RNA". It matches the Rfam family "Bacterial small subunit ribosomal RNA", at positions 28 to 507 of the family's 1533-position model. The record is from RNAcentral.
GACGAACGCUGGCGGCGUGCUUAACACAUGCAAGUCGUGCGGUAAGGCCCUUUCGGGGGUCCACGAGCGGCGAACGGGUGAGUAACACGUGAGCAACCUGCCCUUCACUUUGGGAUAACUGCCGGAAACGGUGGCUAAUACCGGAUAUGACUUCCUCACGCAUGUGGGGUGGUGGAAAGCCUUCGGGUGGUGGGGGAUGGGCUCGCGGUCUAUCAGCUUGUUGGUGGGGUGAUGGCCUACCAAGGCUUCGACGGGUAGCCGGCCUGAGAGGGUGACCGGCCACACUGGGACUGAGACACGGCCCAGACGCCUACGGGAGGCAGCAGUGGGGAAUAUUGGACAAUGUGCGAAAGCCUGAUCCAGCAACGCCGCGUGAGGGAUGACGGCCUUCGGGUUGUAAACCUCUUUCGCCUGCGACGAAGCGAGAGUGACGGUAGCAGGUAAAGAAGCACCGGCCAACUACGUG